Molecule: ribosomal RNA, 253 nt
Filed under: uncultured bacterium
Lineage: Bacteria
Description: partial 16S ribosomal RNA
Rfam family: Bacterial small subunit ribosomal RNA
Source: RNAcentral
UACGUAGGCAGCACGCGUUGUUCGGAAUUACUGGGCGUAAAGAGUGUGUAGGCGGUGCUCUAAGUCUGUUGUGAAAUCUCCCGGCUUAACUGGGAGGGUGCGGCGGAGACUGGAGUGCUAGAGUGUGGGAGAGGUAAGCGGAAUUCCUGGUGUAGCGGUGAAAUGCGUAGAUAUCAGGAGGAACACCGGUGGCGAAGGCGGGUCUCUGGGCCGAUACUGACGCUGAGGAGCGAAAGCGUGGGGAGCGAACAGG